CCUACGGGGGGCAGCAGUGGGGAAUAUUGCACAAUGGGGGAAACCCUGAUGCAGCGACGCCGCGUGAGCGAUGAAGUAUUUCGGUAUGUAAAGCUCUAUCAGCAGGGAAGAAAAUGACGGUACCUGACUAAGAAGCCCCGGCUAACUACGUGCCAGCAGCCGCGGUAAUACGUAGGGGGCAAGCGUUAUCCGGAUUUACUGGGUGUAAAGGGAGCGUAGACGGCUGUGCAAGCCAGAUGUGAAAGCCCGGGGCUCAACCCCGGGACUGCAUUUGGAACUGUGUGGCUGGAGUGUCGGAGAGGCAGCCGGAAUUCCGAGUGGAGCGGUGAAAUGUGUAGAUAUUAGGAGGAAGACCAGUGGCGAAGGCGGCCUGCUGGACGAUGACUGACGUUGAGGCUCGAAAGCGUGGGGAGCAAACAGGAUUAGAUACCCGAGUAGUC
Molecule: ribosomal RNA, 440 nt
Filed under: uncultured bacterium
Lineage: Bacteria
Description: partial 16S ribosomal RNA
Rfam family: Bacterial small subunit ribosomal RNA
Source: RNAcentral